This 135-nucleotide ribosomal RNA is filed under the name uncultured bacterium. RNAcentral describes it as "partial 16S ribosomal RNA". It matches the Rfam family "Bacterial small subunit ribosomal RNA", at positions 355 to 507 of the family's 1533-position model. The record is from RNAcentral.
UGGGGAAUAUUGCACAAUGGGGGAAACCCUGAUGCAGCGACGCCGCGUGAAGGAUGAAGUAUUUCGGUAUGUAAACUUCUAUCAGCAGGGAAGAAAAUAACGGUACCUGACUAAGAAGCCCCGGCUAACUACGUG